Coffea arabica (coffee) is the source of this 4016-nucleotide RNA transcript. It is a transcript of the gene named disease resistance protein RGA2-like, with no coding region annotated. The record is from RefSeq and is a predicted model, not a curated record. NCBI's taxonomy places the organism in Eukaryota, Viridiplantae, Streptophyta, Magnoliopsida, Gentianales, Rubiaceae.
CUGGUGAACGUGGAGGAAACGUCUGAAUAACUGUCUUGACUUCCCUAGAAGCAUGGUUCAAAGAAUUCCAUUCCAAGUCUACAUUGACCACGGAAAAUGGACAACUUGGAACAGGAAAUUUGAAUUCCAGGCUAAUAGAGCGUGCAUAAAUAUGAAGGAAAUGGUGCAAUGAUCAAGAGAGUUAAGAUAAACCCUUUUAAAGUGAAAAGGGAAACCAAUAAAAAGUAGUUAUUUCAAUUUACUACCAAAUUAACCAAUGGAAGCUGCAUUUCAAGCUGGAAUUGCACAAGCUUCCUUGCAAGUUCUCCUUGAGAGGAUUACCGACUUUGCUGUGAAAGAAACAAGCCUGAUUCUGGGAGUUGAUGAUGAGAUCAGAAGGCUGCAGAGAACACUCCAGAGGAUUAGAGCUAUUCUGGAUAUUGUGGGGAACAAUCAGCAAAGCCUGCUGAAGCACAGCAGCACUGAAGCAUGGAAGAUGUGGGCUGCUGAUUUGGAGAAGCAUUCAUACAGUGCUGAGGACCUACUUGAUGAAAUUUCGCUGGAUCUUUUGCAGGUCGGUGCUGAUUAUUUGAAUGAAGCUAAUGAAAGCUAUCAGGUGCGUAACAUGCUUUUGUCAUCUUUUAAAUUGUCAAUGCCCCAUGAGAUUGGAAAGAUAAGGAAAGAACUGGAAGAUAUUGCUACUGAAAUGGAUAGUCUUGUCUUGACUAAAAUGUCUGAACUAGGGUCAUAUAAAUUACCAGCUAAAUCAUGCCUUACGAGCAAUUUUUUUGCCAAAAGCACUAGUUCACUGGUGGAUGAAGGGUUUGUAGUUGGCAGAGAAAAGGACAAAGAUGAGAUCGUCAAGAUGCUGUUGACAGCAAAUGCCAAUAGGAGCAAUGUCUCUGUGAUUCCUUUAGUUGGUAUGGGGGGUAUUGGCAAGACAACCCUUGCACAAAUUGUCUACAAUGACAAUCAAGUAGUAAAGAACUUUGACUUGAGAGUGUGGAUUUCAGUGUCUGUAAAUUUUGAUGUUAUCGGGAUCACCAAGUCAAUUAUUGAAUCCCUGACAGGUAAAAAAUGUAAGUUGUCAGACCUAGAUCCCAUUCAGUGUAAGCUUCAGAGUUUACUCUCCGGAAGGAAGUUUCUUCUAGUGCUAGAUGACUACUGGACUGAGAAGUAUGGGGAUUGGGAUUCUUUGACUUGCCCUUUUAGAGUUGGACUUAGAGGGAGCAAAGUUGUAGUAACCACUAGGAGUUCAGUAGUGGCAUCAAUUCUUGGUACAUUUCCAGCAUAUCAUCUGAAAGUUUUGAAUGAUAAGGACUGCUGGGAAUUGAUGAAACAAAGGGCGUUUGCAAAUAAGGAUCCUGAGGAGAAUAUGAAUAUGGAAGAAAUGGGGAGAAAAAUAGCAAAGAAAUGCAGAGGCUUGCCUUUAGCAGCCCAAAGUCUUGGGGGCAUGCUUCAUUUUCAAUUCGAUGAGGAGGAGUGGGAAUGCAUCUUAAAUAGUGAGCUAUGGGACUUGCCACAAGAGAAAAAUGAUAUCUUUUCAUCAUUACUGAUUAGCUAUCAUUUUCUUCCUUCUCAUUUGAAAAAAUGUUUUGCAUAUUGCUCCAUAUUUCCAAGGAAUCAUGAGUUUGAAAGGGACAAGUUAGUCCUGCUAUGGAUGGCAGAAGGGUUCAUCCAACCUAGAGGAGGAAAGCGACUGGAAGAUGUUGGUAGUGAUUAUUUCAAUGAACUGAUUUGGAGGUCAUUUUUACAAUUUUCACAUGUCAAUCUGUACAACCAAUCAAUGUACAAAAUGCAUGACCUUGUUCACGGUAUGGCGAGGUUAAUUUCUGCUAAUACGUGCUUUUGCUUGGCGGAGGACAUAUCGUAUUGGCAUCCAGCAUUGGCCAAUGCUCGUCAUAUGUCUCUGGGUCAUGCAAAUCUGCAACAGAUAGUGUCAAAGCCCUCCACUUGGUGUAAGAACUUGCGUACAUUGUUGCUAAUGCCCAGAAACAGCAAAAGCACUGUGCAGCUUUCUUAUGAGCUAUUUUUGAAACUACGCUUCCUAAGAGCGUUGGACUUGUGUUGCAUGGACAUCUAUGAGAUUCCUGAUUCAAUUGAAUACUUGAAACAUCUUCGCUUUCUUAACCUCUCCGAGAAUCACAUCCAAAACUUACCUGAAUCCAUCACAAACAUCCUUGGUUUACAAACCCUCGUGCUAAAAAAUUGUUUUGAGUUCCUUGAACUUCCAGCAAACUUGAAGAAGCUUACUAACCUACGACAUCUUGACCUGGAUAUAAAGCAUCAGUUGAACUACAUGCCAUCAGAUCUUGGAAAUUUAGUCAAUCUUCAAACCAUGAAUGCAUUCAUCGUUGGAAAAGGUAAAGGAUGUGGUAUAGGACAGUUGGGUAAUAUGAGAUUCCUCAGGGGAUCAAUUUGCAUUACGAAUCUGGAAAAUGUGCUCAGUGUGAUGGAGGCAAACGAGGCAAAUUUAUGCAUGAAGCCAUUCCUAGAAAGUCUUCAGUUGGAAUGGAAUUAUUCUGGUGAUCGAAUAGAUCAACAAGAAGUACUUGCUGGCCUUCAACCACAUCCAAAUCUCAAGGAGCUAGCAAUAACAAAUUAUGGUGGCUUUAUGUUUCCUAGUUGGCUAGGUGGUCCGCUGCUCAAGCUCAGAACUAUUCACAUCCGAAGCUGCCAAUACUGCUCUGUCCUCCCAUCUCUUGGGCAACUUCCACUCCUCAAGCAUCUUUGUAUUGAAAAUUUGUCAAGUUUAGCAAGUAUUGACGAUCAUUUUUGUGGCUUUGGUCCUACUAAAGGUUUUCGUUCUUUAGAGUUGCUAAUCUUUCAAAACAUGCCAAAUUUGAUGGAAUGGAAAGGAUUAGAUGGACACGAUAUGCCUCUCCUCCGAGAACUCACCUUUAUAAACUGCCCAAGACUAACUAGUCUACCAUCACUCCACAACCUGAGUUUCCUCCAUAACUUGAACAUCAGCCACUGCCCAAAACUUCAAGCAUUACCAGAGCAAGGAUUGCCAGUUUCUCUCCAAAUCCUAAUCAUUUUGGAAAGUGCCAUUAUCAAAGAAAGAUGCAGAGUUGAAGAAGGUGAAGAUUGGUACAAGAUAAAGAGGAUCCCCAAGAUAGAGAUCGAUUAUGUACAGAUUCCCAUGGUAGCAUGACAAGAACUGUUCUUACUAUGAGUCUCGAUGUGCUUGCCAUCACCACCGAGAUCCAGCAACUAAAAGAGUCAGCCAAUUCAUGAAAGAUGUGCAUAAUAUUGUGCUCAUUUUUGCUCACUAAUGAAGCAUCCUCAGUCAGUCGGAACUGAAUUGCAUAAAGGAAAACAUGACAGUAGCUUAACCAUCAUCAUGACUGAAAACAGGGAAACGUCUGGUACAUUAGCUUUCAGAGGCAGCCGCUCUGACAUCAUGAAAUGCUACCUUCAAGCUUUAAAGCCAUUGUCAACCUUGAAGCUAUGUGUAAAGAGCAGCUCGUGUUUCACUGUUAACAGCAGUAUCCAGCUAUGUUAGAACAGACAAAUCAGAGUUCCAAAGAUGCUGCUACUUUUUGUGGGCAUAGUGUGAAUUACCUCCGAAUCUGUUCCAUUAACUCAGAUUCAGUGGGGGACAAGUCUUCCAUUAUACAUCCCUGAAUUAUGCAUGUCAAAGCCACAACUACCUGUGAUCAAAUCAUCAAAUACACCAUUAGGUUAGAGCAGUUUCUUGCUGCAUGUAGCUUUUGCAAUGCAAAGUUUGUAGCAGAUAUUUUGGUUUUGAUGUUUCUGAAACUAUCCAGUUUCAAAAUGUUGUCUAAGCUUGAAAUGAAGGAGUCAUUUUUCAAGUUUUCAAGUUCUCAGAUAUUUCAGUUAAACUUGAUCAGAGAAGUAGUGUCUCAAAUGCAAGUUAUUCCAGGGAUAUUACCCAUGGCGAACUUGCUUACAGAAGGUAAUACUCAAUGCACUCUUUCCAAUCUAAAACCCCCUAGCUCCCGUAGUGUGCCCCCUCUAAUACUUCACAAAGUGUGAUCAACUUUAAUUUCAAAUCUUGAAGAAGUUUGAAC